Small nuclear RNA from Nomascus leucogenys (northern white-cheeked gibbon), 157 nucleotides. Its record names the gene U1. It matches the Rfam family "U1 spliceosomal RNA". From Rfam's summary of the family: U1 is a small nuclear RNA (snRNA) component of the spliceosome (involved in pre-mRNA splicing). Its 5' end forms complementary base pairs with the 5' splice junction, thus defining the 5' donor site of an intron. There are significant differences in sequence and secondary structure between metazoan and yeast U1 snRNAs, the latter being much longer (568 nucleotides as compared to 164 nucleotides in human). NCBI's taxonomy places the organism in Eukaryota, Metazoa, Chordata, Mammalia, Primates, Hylobatidae. The record is from Ensembl.
AUAAAAAAUUUUAAAACCAUGAUCACGAAGGUGGUUUUCCCAGGGCGAGGCUCAUCCAUUGCACUCCAGAUGUGCUGACGCCUGUGGUUUCCCCAAAUGUGGGAAACUGAGCUGCAUAAUUUGUGGUAGUGGGGGUCUGUGUUCAUGCUUUCCCCUU